This 497-nucleotide ribosomal RNA is filed under the name uncultured bacterium. RNAcentral's name for it is "partial 16S ribosomal RNA". It matches the Rfam family "Bacterial small subunit ribosomal RNA", at positions 28 to 507 of the family's 1533-position model. The record is from RNAcentral.
GAUGAACGCUGGCGGCGUGCCUAAUACAUGCAAGUCGAGCGCACAGACUAUGUGCUUGCUCCCCUGACGUUAGCCGCGGACGGGUGAGUAACACGUGGAUAACCUACUUAUAAGACUGGGAUAACUUCGUGAAACCGGCGAUCAUACCGUAUAAUAUAUUGAACCGCAUGGUUCAAUAGUGAAAGACGGUAUUGUUGUCACUUAUAGCUACAUCCUCGCCGCAUUAGCUAUUUGGUAAGGUAACGGCUUACCACGGCCACGAUGCGUAGCCGACCUGACAGGGUGAGCGGCCACACUGGAACUGAGACAGGGUCCAGACUCCUAGGGGAGGCAGCAUUAGGGAAUCUUCGGAAAUGGGCGAAAGCCUGACGGAGAAACCCGGCGUGAGUGAUGAAGGUCUUCGGAUGGUAAAACUCUGUUAUGAGGGAAGAACAAAUGUGUAAGUAACUAUGCACGUUUUGACGGUACCUAAUCAGAAAGCCACGGCUAACUACGUG